RNAcentral lists this ribosomal RNA (463 nucleotides) under uncultured bacterium. RNAcentral describes it as "partial 16S ribosomal RNA". It matches the Rfam family "Bacterial small subunit ribosomal RNA", at positions 28 to 507 of the family's 1533-position model. The record is from RNAcentral.
GACGAACGCUGGCGGCGUGCUUAACACAUGCAAGUCGAACGGAAAGGCCCUGCUUGCAGGGUACUCGAGUGGCGAACGGGUGAGUAACACGUGGGUGAUCUGCCCUGCACUUCGGGAUAAGCCUGGGAAACUGGGUCUAAUACCGGAUAGGAGCCAUUUUUAGUGUGAUGGUUGGAAAGUUUUUCGGUGUAGGAUGAGCUCGCGGCCUAUCAGCUUGUUGGUGGGGUAAUGGCCUACCAAGGCGGCGACGGGUAGCCGGCCUGAGAGGGUGGACGGCCACAUUGGGACUGAGAUACGGCCCAGACUCCUACGGGAGGCAGCAGUGGGGAAUAUUGCACAAUGGGCGCAAGCCUGAUGCAGCGACGCCGCGUGGGGGAUGACGGCCUUCGGGUUGUAAACUCCUUUCGCUAGGGACGAAGCUUUUGUGACGGUACCUAGAUAAGAAGCACCGGCUAACUACGUG